Molecule: long non-coding RNA, 853 nt
Organism: Homo sapiens (human)
Lineage: Eukaryota; Metazoa; Chordata; Mammalia; Primates; Hominidae
Source: Ensembl
CUUCUGGCGGAGGAGAACUGUCAUUCUGAGGGGCUGGGGUAGGGAAAGCUCUUCAAGUGCGAAUUUCCCCAUUUUAGGCCUCUCUCCUGGCCCCCGGCACAUUUUUUUACCUUUUUCUUCUUCCGUAAACUUCCUGCCAGUGACUAGCUUCCGGUAUGAAAUCAAGCUCUGCGUGAGAGCUGUAAAACCAGAAAAAUGUGGAAAUGGACAGGAGGGCUGUUGUCCAAAAAUGCAAAGGAAAUCUGACGUCCCACCCUGAAGAAAAAUAUCACAAGGCCCAAAAGCAAGGCGUCUCUGAUGAGUCACCUAUGACACCCAAUUGAAAUAGCAUCGCCUUGGCCGGGUGCUCUGGUUUCCACAGAUUAACUUGGUCUGGUUACAGCGGCUGCUUAGGAUCUUCAACUCCCACUGGUGCCUUGCUUUUCUAGCACACCCAGAGAACACCUGUUCCUCACGUGAACAUUACAAGGGGAUCCAAGAUGCUUUACUUUUUGCUCUUGGGAAAUGGAGGGGAUACAAUACUAAGUAUUCCGGAAUUUCCUUUGAAAAAAUACCGGAAUGCCCUGAGCCCGGAGCCAGGGAUGAUUACUGAAGCCCUGGCUCUUUAGUCACUAUAUGUGAGAACUGACAUAAGACCUUUCAACCCCUGAGCGCUUAGAUCCUUCAUCUGUAACGUGAAGUAAUAGUAAUCCGUACUCCAUGGAUUUCAUAGGCUGCAACCUUUUGGAAAGAAAAUCAAAAUUUUACUGUUGACGAAUUUUUAUUUACUCAUCUUGUGUUUCUAACAUCUAACGGGGUGCCUGGCACAUUAUAGAUGUUUCAUAUUUUAAAAAUAAAUGUAAGGUGCAAAUGA